UCUCAAGUUCAGUACAUCAAAGUUACACAUAAUUACCUGCAGUCUGAUGUGAUGGAAAGUGACUGGCAUUGGGACUCUGAGCUCUGGCAGAACUGUCGGGCCUUACGAACACGGAAGAAUCUGCAUCUGGAUUGAGUGGAAAGAACCAUUCUGUUGUACAACAGCCUGUAAAUGGAUGUCUGAGUCUUCCACGUUGGCUUCCCUAGGAACCCUCAAAGAUUUUUGUACUUCUGAAAAGCUUUGAUCUGGCUCCUUUAUAUUUGUAUUGCGCUGAGACUCCAGCUCCACAGCUUUAUUUGCUUCAUGUACAUGAACUGGUUUUUCAGGAAGCUUCACAUACUUCUUAUCAAAUGCCUCCGCAGUGACAAGCUGAAUUCCAUAAGCAUCCUGUUUGGCAGUUAUGAGAAUGCAUUAUAAGUAGCAUGGCUUCCCAGUACAAAAGACACAGUGACACAGUGGAGCAAGUGCAAUGAAGAGCCACAGGGAUGAUCAGAGGAAGGAUGAAGCACAUGAUGUUCAACAAGAAGCUAAAAAACUGAGUUUGUUCAAUCUUAAGAAAAGGCUUGGGGAUGUGGGGGAAGGGGCACAGAAAUCUGUCUACUACACCCUAAGUGACAGUAUAGAGAAGAUGCAGUCAAUCUUCUUGAAUAUGCUCAGUGAAAGAAAAAGAAAACGGACCCAAGAUGCAACACAGGAAAUUCUGGUUUGAUAUAAUAAAAUACUAAAAUAAAAAAGAAGAAAGUUGUCAAAAGGUUGUCCAGGGCUGUCUGGAGUCUUUGUCCUUGGAGAUAUUUAGAACUUUCCUGGACAAGGCCUUAAAGAACCUGGUCUAAGUUGGCUCUGCUGUGAGCUGGAAGGAGAAUCUGGACCACGUAACUAGAAGUCCUUCUUGGCCUAGAUUAAUCUAUGAUUCUAGGUUUUCAAACAUUCCAGGAGAAAGCAGUUCAAAUUAAAAUACUAGCAUUAUCUUCAUGUUAGCUAAUAAAGAUGUUCUUAUUUUCAUGAAUUAUUACAUUUUUCUAGAGAGCGUAGAACUCCCACCAGUCUGUUAACCAGUGUUUUAUCAACUGUGUAAUCCUAUGUGAUUAAUAAAGUAUUAUAUAUUACUGUCUCUA
This is a long non-coding RNA of Falco peregrinus (peregrine falcon), 1115 nucleotides long. RefSeq lists it as uncharacterized. The record is from RefSeq and is a predicted model, not a curated record. Lineage: Eukaryota; Metazoa; Chordata; Aves; Falconiformes; Falconidae. The transcript has 3 exons.